RNAcentral lists this long non-coding RNA (373 nucleotides) under Vulpes vulpes (red fox). RNAcentral describes it as "lncRNA (ENSVVUG00000005912.1)". The record is from RNAcentral. Lineage: Eukaryota; Metazoa; Chordata; Mammalia; Carnivora; Canidae.
AAUCACCAGAUAAAUAAAUUAGUGCUCAUUCUUGCCAGUUUCUACGCUAAUAUUUUCACUAUCUACAUUUUACAGAUAAAGAAAUUGAGAUUUACAAGGCAUCAGGUGACUGGUUUAGGUUCCUACAGCAAAUAGUGACAAAUCCAGACUAGAAAGCAUCUCAGGACUCUUUGAAAACAAAGACAAAAUUCCUAACCCAUCAUGGAAGAAGAGGCUCAAUAAAAGGUUCGCAGAAGAACUGACAAUGAGCUUCCAUUCCUUGUGAAGAAGAUAGAAUAUUCAUUUGCAAAGUCUUCCAAAACAAACUUAGUUUUACUUCUGUAUAAAUUUGAAGUCAUCUAGAUGGAAGUUACCUACACUCAUCAGAAAAGCC